Molecule: unclassified non-coding RNA, 254 nt
Filed under: uncultured bacterium
Lineage: Bacteria
Description: contains 16S-23S intergenic spacer region
Rfam family: Bacterial small subunit ribosomal RNA
Source: RNAcentral
UACGUAGGUGGCAAGCGUUGUCCGGAUUCACUGGGCGUAAAGGGCGUGUAGGCGGCUAUGUAAGUCCGGCGUGAAAACUCACGGCUCAACCGUGAACCUGCGUCGGAUACUGCAUUGGCUAGAGGACGGUAGAGGCAGGUGGAACUAGCGGUGUAGCGGUGAAAUGCGCAGAUAUCGCUAGGAACGCCGGUGGCGAAGGCGAUCUGCUGGGCCGAUCCUGACGCUGAGGCGCGAAUGCUAGGGGAGCGAACCGG